AAAGGAAUAGACGGGGGCCCGCACAAGCGGUGGAGCAUGUGGUUUAAUUCGAAGCAACGCGAAGAACCUUACCAGGGCUUGACAUCUACCUGACCGACGUGGAAACACGUCCUUCCCUCGGGACAGUUAGACAGGUGGUGCAUGGUUGUCGUCAGCUCGUGUCGUGAGAUGUUGGGUUAAGUCCCGCAACGAGCGCAACCCUUGUCCUUAGUUGCCAAUCCGGCACCCAGGUGGGUAUACACUCUUCCUAGAGCAUUAUACCCAGCUGAGUGUCGGGGGCUCUCUAAGGAGACUGCCGCAGACAAUGCGGAGGAAGGUGGGGACGACGUCAAAUCAUCAUGCCCCUUAUGCUCUGGGCUACACACGUGCUACAAUGGCCUGCACAACGGGUAGCGAAUUUGUGAAAACAAGCCAAUCCCUUGAAAACAGGUCUCAGUUCGGAUUGUAGGCUGCAAUUCGCCUACAUGAAGCCGGAAUCGCUAGUAAUCGCGGAUCAGCACGUCGCGGUGAAUACGUUCCCGGGCCUUGUACACACCGCCCGU
RNAcentral lists this ribosomal RNA (542 nucleotides) under uncultured bacterium. RNAcentral's name for it is "bacterial SSU rRNA". It matches the Rfam family "Bacterial small subunit ribosomal RNA", at positions 903 to 1397 of the family's 1533-position model. The record is from RNAcentral.